This 256-nucleotide ribosomal RNA is filed under the name uncultured bacterium. RNAcentral describes it as "partial 16S ribosomal RNA". It matches the Rfam family "Bacterial small subunit ribosomal RNA", at positions 524 to 777 of the family's 1533-position model. The record is from RNAcentral.
UACGUAGGGGGCAAGCGUUGUCCGGAUUUAUUGGGCGUAAAGAGCGUGUAGGCGGCCGUACAGGUCAGCUGUGAAAACUCGAGGCUCAACCUCGAGACGUCGGUUGAAACCGUACGGCUAGAGUCCGGAAGAGGAGAGUGGAAUUCCCGGUGUAGCGGUGAAAUGCGCAGAUAUCGGGAAGAACACCCGUGGCGAAGGCGGCUCUCUGGGACGGUACUGACGCUGAGACGCGAAAAGCGUGGGGGAGCGAACAGGG